This 1142-nucleotide ribosomal RNA is filed under the name uncultured organism. RNAcentral describes it as "bacterial SSU rRNA". It matches the Rfam family "Bacterial small subunit ribosomal RNA", at positions 277 to 1450 of the family's 1533-position model. The record is from RNAcentral.
AGACGGGUAGGGGGUGUGAGAGCAUGGCCCCCCACAAUGGGACUGGAACACGGCCCAUACUCCUACGGGAGGCAGCAGCAGGGAAUAUUGCACAAUGGACGGAAGUCUGAUGCAGCGACGCCGCGUGGAUGAAGAAGGCCCUCGGGUUGUAAAAUCCUUUACAGGGGGAAGAGGAAGGACGGUACCCCUGGAACAAGUGUCGGCUAACUACGUGCCAACAGCCGCGGUAAGACGUAGGACACAAGCGUUAUCCGGAUUUACUGGGCGUAAAGCGUCUGCAGGCGGACAGGUAAGUUGGGCGUGAAAGCUCCGGGCCCAACCCGGAGAGGUCGUUCAAUACUGCGUGUCUAGAGGGUGUCAGAGGGGAGUGGAAUUUCCGGAGUAGCGGUAAAAUGCGCAGAGAUCGGAAAGAACACCAAUGGCGAAGGCAGCUCCCUGGGGCAACCCUGACGCUAAGAGACGAAAGCUAGGGGAGCGAACAGGAUUAGAGACCCUGGUAGUCCUAGCCCUAAACGAUGGAUGCUGGAUGUGGGGCCAUAGCGCUCCGUGUCGAAGCGAACGCGUUAAGCAUCCCGCCUGGGGACUACGGCCGCAAGGUUAAAACUCAAACGAAUUGACGGGACCCCGCACAAGCAGCGGAGCGUGUGGUUUAAUUCGAUGCUACACGAAGAACCUUACCUGGGUUUGACAUCUAGGUGGUAGUGAAGCGAAAGCGGAGCGACCCUUCGGGGAGCCUAGACAGGUGCUGCAUGGCUGUCGUCAGCUCGUGCCGUGAGGUGUCGGGUUAAGUCCCGUAACGAGCGCAACCCUUGCCCUCCGUUAUACGUGUCAGAGGGGACUGCCGGCGGUAAGCCGGAGGAAGGUGGGGAUGACGUCAAGUCAGCAUGGCCUUUAUAUCCAGGGCUACACACACGCUACAAUGGCCAGUACAAAGGGCAGCGAAGCCGCGAGGUGGAGCGAAUCCCAGCAAAGCUGGUCGUAGUUCGGAUUGCAGGCUGCAACCCGCCUGCAUGAAGCUGGAGUUGCUAGUAACCGCGCGUCAGCCAUAGUGCGGUGAAUACGUUCCCGGGGUUUGUACACACCGCCCGUCACGUCAUGGGAGUCGAUAACGCCUGAAGCCGGUGGCCUAGCUCGGAAGAGAG